This 465-nucleotide ribosomal RNA is filed under the name uncultured bacterium. RNAcentral's name for it is "bacterial SSU rRNA". It matches the Rfam family "Bacterial small subunit ribosomal RNA", at positions 917 to 1382 of the family's 1533-position model. The record is from RNAcentral.
GGGCCCGCACAAGCAGCGGAGCAUGUGGUUUAAUUCGAAGCAACGCGAAGAACCUUACCAGGUCUUGACAUCCAAUUAAAGCUAGUGAAAGCUAGUGUCCCUUCGGGGGAAUUGAGACAGGUGGUGCAUGGUUGUCGUCAGCUCGUGUCGUGAGAUGUUGGGUUAAGUCCCGCAACGAGCGCAACCCUUAUUGCCAGUUACCAGCGGGUAAAGCCGGGGACUCUGGUGAGACUGCCGGGGACAACUCGGAGGAAGGUGGGGACGACGUCAAAUCAUCAUGCCCCUUAUGACCUGGGCUACACACGUGCUACAAUGGCCGAAACAGAGGGAAGCAAGAGCGUAAGCUGGAGCCAAGCCCAAAAAGACGGUCCCAGUUCGGAUUGUGGGCUGCAACCCGCCCACAUGAAGUCGGAGUUGCUAGUAAUCGCGAAUCAGCAUGUCGCGGUGAAUGCGUUCCCGGGCCUU